Molecule: long non-coding RNA, 461 nt
Filed under: Homo sapiens (human)
Lineage: Eukaryota; Metazoa; Chordata; Mammalia; Primates; Hominidae
Description: non-protein coding lnc-C9orf66-15:23
Source: RNAcentral
CGUCACCUCUGCUGUCUGUUAGCAGAGUGGAGGAGAAAAUACACAGCACAAACAACGUGAAAAAAUAGUUACUCUAUUCAUUAAAAGCUGUAACUUCCAGAUUGGACUUGAGAAGCAAUUAAGCAACAGAGGAACCUCAUCUACUAUCUGUAUUCAGGCAUGCUCAUGAGAACACGCUGCUCCAGCUGGACUUAGAGGAACCCGGUGCAUCACAGGCAUUCCUGACAGAGUCUCGUGGUCCUGCUGGUCCACUCAGUGGUACUCAGUCCUCCUCAUUCUCGGGGAUAGGUUCCAAGACCCCCAGGGGAUGCCUGAAACUGCGGAUGGUACCGAACCCUACAUAUAUUAUGUUUUUUUCCUAUACAUACAUACCUAUGAUAAAGCUUAAUUUACAAAUUAGAUAGAGUAAGAGAUUAACAACAAUUACAGCAAUAUACUGAAAUAAAAGUUAUGUGAAUGUG